GGAAGUAGAGAGGAAGACAGGAAGACAGGAAGGGGGCAUAGAAAAGAUACCUUCCAAGGCAUAUUCCUGCCAGCGGCAUCUUUCUCUUUGCUAAAAUCGCCUUUCUUCUUUCCGUACAGGUGUGUACUGAGGAUCAGAAGGGCCUUGAGUUGCAAAGGGCUAGGGUGUUUCCUUUGGUGGAGCUGGUAUCGAGUUCACAGGUUGUAGCUCUGAUCUUCCUUUGAGAGUACACUGCGGUCUUCAGGAACAGACAUGACUCUUGGCUCAGCACAGCCUUGCUGGCCCUCUCCCCUACUGCCCAGUGUAUUUUCAUCUCUCAGGGAUUCCUCGAAGUCUUAUGUGGAGAGCUGCUCUCCUGGCCUUGGCGAUGAAGAAACAUUUCCCUUUUGAAAGCCAGAGUUUUGAAUGAUAAGCAUUGCUAAAGAGGAAGCAA
Molecule: long non-coding RNA, 433 nt
Filed under: Mus caroli (Ryukyu mouse)
Lineage: Eukaryota; Metazoa; Chordata; Mammalia; Rodentia; Muridae
Description: lncRNA (MGP_CAROLIEiJ_G0006505.1)
Source: RNAcentral